RNAcentral lists this ribosomal RNA (392 nucleotides) under Oogamochlamys sp. MACC 425. RNAcentral's name for it is "partial small subunit ribosomal RNA". It matches the Rfam family "Eukaryotic small subunit ribosomal RNA", at positions 614 to 1014 of the family's 1831-position model. The record is from RNAcentral. Lineage: Eukaryota; Viridiplantae; Chlorophyta; Chlorophyceae; Chlamydomonadales; Chlamydomonadaceae.
GSSYSUKGGGUKSSRGUUAAAAGCUCGUAGUUGGAUUUCGGGUGGGUCUUAGCGGUCCGCCUCUGGUGUGUACUGUUAAGGCCCAUCUUUCUGCCGGGGACGUGUUCCUGCUGUUCACUCAGUGGGGCAUGGAGUCGGCGAGGUUACUUUGAGUAAAUUAGAGUGUUCAAAGCAAGCCUACGCUCUGAAUACAUUAGCAUGGAAUAACACGAUAGGACUCUGGCCUAUCUUGUUGGUCUGUAGGACUGGAGUAAUGAUUAAGAGGGACAGUCGGGGGCAUUCGUAUUUCAUUGUCAGAGGUGAAAUUCUUGGAUUUAUGAAAGACGAACUUCUGCGAAAGCAUUUGCCAAGGAUGUUUUCAUUAAUCAAGAACGAAAGUUGGGGGCUCGAAG